This 61-nucleotide microRNA precursor is filed under the name Monopterus albus (swamp eel). RNAcentral describes it as "Mal-Mir-150_pre stem-loop". The record is from RNAcentral. Lineage: Eukaryota; Metazoa; Chordata; Actinopteri; Synbranchiformes; Synbranchidae.
ACUCCCAAUCCUUGUACCAGUGUCUUGAUACCAAAGUGACGCUGGGCAGGUUUGGGGGGGG